Molecule: ribosomal RNA, 274 nt
Filed under: uncultured bacterium
Lineage: Bacteria
Description: partial 16S ribosomal RNA
Rfam family: Bacterial small subunit ribosomal RNA
Source: RNAcentral
AUACGGAGGGUGCGAGCGUUAAUCGGAAUUACUGGGCGUAAAGCGUGCGUAGGCGGUUAUUUAAGUCAGAUGUGGAAUCCCCGGGCUCAACCUGGGACCUGCAUCCGAUACUGGCAGGCUAGAGUCUGGUAGAGGGGGGUAGAAUUCCUGGUGUAGCGGUGAAAUGCGUAGAUAUCAGGAGGAAUACCAGUGGCGAAGGCGGCCCCCUGGACUGAGACUGACGCUGAGGUGCGAAAGCGUGGGGAGCAAACAGGAUUAGAUACCCUUGUAGUCC